AUGGCUUCUAUUACAAUGCUUGUUUCUUGGGAAUUGUGGAACGAGGGCAAUGCAAGGAUCUUCAACAACAACUCGUCGACUAUAAUCAUGGCCAAAAUCCGGUGCGAGACGAAGAAUUGAGGUUUGGCGGGUGCAACUCAUUUGUGUAAUCUUAUGCCGGAAGAGUAG
This 168-nucleotide ribosomal RNA is filed under the name Triticum aestivum (bread wheat). RNAcentral describes it as "partial small subunit ribosomal RNA". The record is from RNAcentral. Lineage: Eukaryota; Viridiplantae; Streptophyta; Magnoliopsida; Poales; Poaceae.